CGUGUAGGCGGCCAAACAGGUCCGUUGUGAAAACUGGAGGCUCAACUUCCAGACGUCGACGGAAACCGUAUGGCUAGAGUCCGGAAGAGGAGAGUGGAAUUCCUGGUGUAGCGGUGAAAUGCGCAGAUAUCAGGAAGAACACCAAUGGCGAAGGCAGCUCUCUGGGACGGUACUGACGCUGAGACGCGAAAGCGUGGGGAGCGAACA
This 207-nucleotide ribosomal RNA is filed under the name uncultured bacterium. RNAcentral's name for it is "partial 16S ribosomal RNA". It matches the Rfam family "Bacterial small subunit ribosomal RNA", at positions 568 to 774 of the family's 1533-position model. The record is from RNAcentral.